This 460-nucleotide ribosomal RNA is filed under the name uncultured bacterium. Its description in RNAcentral is "partial 16S ribosomal RNA". It matches the Rfam family "Bacterial small subunit ribosomal RNA", at positions 338 to 795 of the family's 1533-position model. The record is from RNAcentral.
CCUACGGGUGGCAGCAGUGAGGAAUAUUGGUCAAUGGCCGUGAGCCUGAACCAGCCAAGUCGCGUGAAGGAAGACUGAUCUAUGGUUUGUAAACUUCUUUUAUAAGGGAAUAAAGUUAUCCACGUGUGGAUUUUUGCAUGUACCCUAUGAAUAAGCAUCGGCUAACUCCGUGCCAGCAGCCGCGGUAAUACGGAGGAUCCGAGCGUUAUCCGGAUUUAUUGGGUUUAAAGGGUGCGUAGGUUGUUUUUUAAGUCAGCGGUGAAAGUUUGUGGCUCAACCAUAAAAUUGCCAUUGAAACUGGAAGACUUGAGUGUGUUUGAGGUAGGCGGAAUGCGUGGUGUAGCGGUGAAAUGCAUAGAUAUCACGCAGAACUCCGAUUGCGAAGGCAGCUUACUAAGCUAUAACUGACAUUGAAGCACGAAAGCGUGGGUAUCAAACAGGAUUAGAUACCCUUGUAGUC